RNAcentral lists this ribosomal RNA (253 nucleotides) under uncultured bacterium. Its description in RNAcentral is "partial 16S ribosomal RNA". It matches the Rfam family "Bacterial small subunit ribosomal RNA", at positions 524 to 776 of the family's 1533-position model. The record is from RNAcentral.
CACGUAGGGUGCGAGCGUUGUCCGGAAUUAUUGGGCGUAAAGAGCUCGUAGGCGGUGUGUCGCGUCGGCCGUGAAAACUUGGGGCUUAACUCUGAGCCUGCAGUGGGUACGGGCAGACUAGAGUGUGGUAGGGGAGAUCGGAAUUCCUGGUGUAGCGGUGGAAUGCGCAGAUAUCAGGAGGAACACCGGUGGCGAAGGCGGAUCUCUGGGCCAUAACUGACGCUGAGGAGCGAAAGCAUGGGGAGCGAACAGG